Molecule: transfer RNA, 70 nt
Filed under: Psittrichas fulgidus
Lineage: Eukaryota; Metazoa; Chordata; Aves; Psittaciformes; Psittacidae
Description: tRNA-Pro
Rfam family: tRNA
About the family: Transfer RNA (tRNA) molecules are approximately 80 nucleotides in length. Their secondary structure includes four short double-helical elements and three loops (D, anti-codon, and T loops).
Source: RNAcentral
CAGAAAGUAGUUUAGUGUGAAAAUACCAGCUUUGGGAGUUGGUGAUGGAGGUUUAAUCCUCUCUUUCUGA